RNAcentral lists this ribosomal RNA (387 nucleotides) under Detonula sp. Its description in RNAcentral is "partial small subunit ribosomal RNA". It matches the Rfam family "Eukaryotic small subunit ribosomal RNA", at positions 587 to 975 of the family's 1831-position model. Lineage: Eukaryota; Bacillariophyta; Thalassiosirophyceae; Thalassiosirales; Thalassiosiraceae. The record is from RNAcentral.
AGCUCCAAUAGCGUAUAUUAAAGUUGUUGCAGUUAAAAAGCUCGUAGUUGGAUUUCUGGCAGGAGCGGCCGGUCGCGCACUCUGUGCGUGAACUUGUGCUGUCUCUGGCCAUCCUCGGGGAGAUCCUAUUUGGCAUUAAGUUGUCGGGUAGGGGAUACCCGUCGUUUACUGUGAAAAAAUUAGAGUGUUUAAAGCAGGCUUAUGCCGUUGAAUAUAUUAGCAUGGAAUAAUAAGAUAGGACUUCGGAACUAUUUUGUUGGUUUGCGUUACGAAGUAAUGAUUAAUAGGGACAGUUGGGGGUAUUCGUAUUUCGUUGUCAGAGGUGAAAUUCUUGGAUUUCCGAAAGACGAACUACUGCGAAAGCAUUUACCAAGGAUGUUUUCAUUA